CCAAAGGCCCUUUUCAGGGCCACUUACCCAUUCACUUAAAGAGUUU
This is a non-coding RNA of Bos taurus (domestic cattle), 46 nucleotides long. The record is from Rfam. NCBI's taxonomy places the organism in Eukaryota, Metazoa, Chordata, Mammalia, Artiodactyla, Bovidae.